UAUAAAAGGGACUAAUUUUGGAUGUUAUAAAGGAUGCCACAUAGGCAAAAUAUUCUCAUCCAUUCAUUCUGCCACGUUACUGGCAACCCAGACCAACAAAUCGUAAUUGCAGCCCAGCUAACCAAACCAUUAAUCUCAAGUAAUCGUCAUACAAGCACCGUGAUGCCUUCUCUCCUAUAUCGUGACAGCUCUGCUCCUCUCCGCCUAUCUUUUUCUGCGUCUCUACUCUUCUCUGACUCUCUCCAUUCCACAUCUGUUUUUUCUCUUUCCUCAGAUUCCACUCUCGCGAGAUCUCUGCUCAUGUCUCUCCAUCUCCACUACCGGCUCUGUCAAUUGUUGAAGAAUCGAAGGGUGGAGACGAACCAAUGGAGCGAUGUGGUGAUGACAGAGGAAGAGGGGAUUCAGUUUCUAAUGGUGGACGCUCGUCACAGAUCUUUUGCAGGUUAGAUUGUAGAUAGUUAAAACUAUGUAUGAAUUUUGAUUGGUCAAUAUUUAAAAAAAAAAUAACUUUGUUGUUGGUUUGAUGUAUGUGAGGAGGUGGGAUGUAAUCAGUUUCAGAGCGUUGCAUUUUCGACUGAUGGGAUUGCGACAACACCUACCAUGAGGAAACUGAAUCUCAUUUGAGUCACUUCGAGAAUGCACAUUGAGAUCUACAGAUAUCCAGCUUGGGGUGAUGUGGUUGAGAUAGAGACAUGGUGUCAGAGUGAAGGAAGGAUCGGGACAAGGCGUGAUUGGAUUCUUAAGGACAUUGCUAACGCUGAAGUCACUGGCCGUGCUACUAGUUACUUGGAUUUAUGUUAAAGAUAUAAUUUUCAUUUCCGAGCACUUGAUGUUCUGUCCUAAAGAACCCAGGUAAAAGGAACUUUGUGUCCAGGUCAAUGCAAUGCUUGCUGGUCAAUCAUAUCGUUAUAUUCAUGAAAUGCCCACUACUAUGUUUUAUGUAUAUCUUUGUAGAUUAGCAUUUCCUGAGGAGGAAAAUAACAGAAGCUUGAAGAAAAUCCCCACACUCGAAGAUCUAGCCAAGUACUCAAUCAUUGGACUAAAGCCAAGACGAGCUGAUCUCGACAUGAACCAUCAUGUCAAUAAUUUCACCUAUAUUGGAUGGAUUCUUGAGAGCAUACUCAAGAGAUUGUAGACACGCAUGAACUUUGGAUUACAGACGAGAAUGUCAGCAAGACGAUGUGGUGGAUUCACUCACCACCUCAAAGAAUGGCUCUGCAACAUCAGGCACACAAAGCCACAACGAUAGCCAGUUCUUAUCUGGAGAUGGUCAGGAGAUCAACUGUGGGACAACCCUGUGGAGAAAGAAGCCCUCCAGAUAGACAAUCCCUAAGCCAUUACGAGUCAAGGACCAAUCAUUUUCACAUAAACCUCUUUGGUUAUUUGAUUAAAAAAGUUACAUGACUGAUAACAGAUUCUGCCUAUUACAAAGUCUCAUAAAUUUCAAAUAA
Molecule: RNA transcript, 1451 nt
Organism: Brassica rapa (field mustard)
Lineage: Eukaryota; Viridiplantae; Streptophyta; Magnoliopsida; Brassicales; Brassicaceae
Gene name: oleoyl-acyl carrier protein thioesterase 1, chloroplastic
Source: RefSeq, a predicted model, not a curated record